AGUGAUCGCUGGCGGUAGGCCUAGCACAUGCAAGUCGAACGGCAGCACAGGAGAGCUUGCUCUCUGGGUGGCGAGUGGCGGACGGGUGAGGAAUACAUCGGAAUCUACUCUGUCGUGGGGGAUAACGUAGGGAAACUUACGCUAAUACCGCAUACGACCUACGGGUGAAAGCAGGGGACCUUCGGGCCUUGCGCGAUUGAAUGAGCCGAUGUCGGAUUAGCUAGUUGGCGGGGUAAAGGCCCACCAAGGCGACGAUCCGUAGCUGGUCUGAGAGGAUGAUCAGCCACACUGGGACUGAGACACGGUCCAGACUCCUACGGGAGGCAGCAGUGGGGAAUAUUGGACAAUGGGCGCAAGCCUGAUCCAGCCAUACCGCGUGGGUGAAGAAGGCCUUCGGGUUGUAAAGCCCUUUUGUUGGGAAAGAAAUCCAGCUGGCUAAUACCCGGUUGGGAUGACGGUACCCAAAGAAUAAGCACCGGCUAACUUCGUGCCAGCCGCCGCCGUAA
This 506-nucleotide ribosomal RNA is filed under the name uncultured bacterium. RNAcentral describes it as "partial 16S ribosomal RNA". It matches the Rfam family "Bacterial small subunit ribosomal RNA", at positions 29 to 523 of the family's 1533-position model. The record is from RNAcentral.